GCAGUACGUUUCAUGGAAUAUAGGUUUCAAGGUAUCAGCUUUUACAUAAAUUUUGAGCUUGAAUUUCCCAAACCAUUUUAAAUAUAUAGAUAGAUAGAUAGCAUCUAUACAUGUAGCUAAAGUGCAGGCAUUCCUGCGCUUGAAUUUUUUCAAAAUGCAAUAACCACACAUUCUAGUGCAGAAUCUGAAAAGGUUCUUUGAGUUUUGAGGUUCAAUGUAACAUCCAAAAGAUUCACCCACUAGCAUAAUAAACUGAGUAGUUAUUUCCAACCAUCAGACCAUUCAGCUUCAUCCAUAACAGGGUCCGGGAUGUAGUCUGUUUGGUGCGUUGUACCCUCAACAUCAGGAGAUGGCUGAAAACUCUGUUUCUCUUCAUUGACGCAAGUGCCUUCCUCAUUCCAAUUCUUAGCUAGUUCCCCUUCAUCUUGGUCCCAAUUGUUGACUUGUCCGCCUUGGUCUUGGUCCCAAUUGUUAACUUUUCCCACCUGGUCUUGGUCCCAAUCAUUAGCUUCUGCUCCUUCACAGUCCCAGUUAUUUACUUGUGCCCCAACAUCAUCCCAAUUAUUUGCUUGUCCGGAAUACUCUUGAAACCAAUUAUUUGCUUGUCCGAAAUCCUCUUGAGGGAUCUCCAGUUUUUCAGGUAAGAAGCAGCCCUUGUAGGAGUCAUUGUCUGCACAAUACCACAAAAGCUUGUUCCAGAAGGGAUCCUUGCAGAUGAUGUGUGGAUUCCCGACAACUACAAGCAAUGAUCUGGCUCUUGUAGCAGCAACAUUGAACCUUCUCGGAUUGCUUAAGAAUCCUAAGUAAUGGAUUCUGUCGAAGUCAUUAUGCUGAAUCGUCGACCGGACGGUCGAUAUGAUAAUAACUUCUCUCUCCUGACCUUGGAAUUGCUCUACGCUGCCAACCUUUAUAUUAGCCCACUCAAAGCUCUCAAGGGCUGUUCUUAUUUUCAGUACUUGCUGCCUAUAAGGUGUUAUCACCCCAAUAUCUUCCUCUUUCAGACCUUUGUUCCCUAUCAGAUCUCUGAUGAUCUCUACCACCUUGCUUGCUUCGAUCCUGUUGAACCAUGAUGGGUUGCUUCCUUCUCUUUCAUCACAACCCUGUAUGCCAAUGAAAACCAACGGAAAUUCCUUGUUUGGAAGCAGGUCCACCCAAGUCUGGGUAAAAGUUUUAUCUUCUUUACAUGGGAUCAACUCUCCUUCAUAAAACAUUUCUGAGGGAAGCUGCAGAAUUACCGGAUGACACCGAUAAUUCCUUACUAGUCUGGUAGCAUAAUUUUCGUUGAGAUCACCAUAUAACUGGCAUUCAAAUAACCUCUCCAUAUAUGAAGUUGCCAAUCCAUAAUUUUCAGCAUCUUUUGAGAAAACAAUGGGACCAAGUUGCUGUGGGUCACCAGCAAGUACAACGACUGUCUCUUUCUUUAAAAGAUGUGAUAGAGGAACCAUGGUAUCAGGCUCUGAUGCCUGUCCUGCCUCAUCCAAGAAAAUAUGAGAGAAGUGUCCCCGUUUGAUGCCCUCUGAAUAAAGAAGACAUGCACUAGCAUAUGUAGAUAUAAUAACCGUAUAUCUUUUAAGGUCCCUGAGAAGGGGGCACUUAAAAGAAUUAUCUUCAGCAUUGCAAAAACGAAGGUAACUAGGAUUCACAUCAUCUAAAGG
This 1655-nucleotide unclassified non-coding RNA is filed under the name Hevea brasiliensis (rubber tree). Lineage: Eukaryota; Viridiplantae; Streptophyta; Magnoliopsida; Malpighiales; Euphorbiaceae. The record is from RNAcentral.